RNAcentral lists this long non-coding RNA (1448 nucleotides) under Lathyrus oleraceus (garden pea). RNAcentral's name for it is "Pisum sativum (pea) long non-coding RNA (PSAT_LNC021182)". The record is from RNAcentral. Lineage: Eukaryota; Viridiplantae; Streptophyta; Magnoliopsida; Fabales; Fabaceae.
CGGCGGAUGCGGAAAGGGCCGUAGUAUCGCUUUGCUAGCUUCUGUGAGGGUCGAUGUUGGACAAAACUUUGUCGGUAAGGUUGUAGUUUCAAGAAAACCCAUUGAUCAACUUCAAAUUGUUUGUCCUUUCGAUGGAGGUUUACUUGUUGAACCAUACGAUUUCUGGCUUUGGUGAGGUUUUCUUUGAGCAGACGGAGGAUGCGAGCUUUGUUGUGAAGUAAUUCAUCCAAGGUGUUGAUUUUGGAUUUCCCAGUGGUGUAUGGAACCAAGGUGGGUGGUUUGCGACCGUAGAGGGCUUCGAACGGAGUCAUACCUAUCGCAGAGUGAAAAGCUGUGUUAUACCAAAAUUCCGCAAGUGAGAGGAAGCGAACCCAAAGUUGUGGCUCGUCGCUCACAAAACAACGCAGGUAUGUUUCCAAACAGCGAUUUACAACUUCAGUUUGUCCGUCGGUUUGAGGAUGGUAAGAGCUACUGAAAGAAAGUGUGGUUCCCAGGUGUUUGAACAAGGAGCGCCAAAACUGACUGACAAAUAUACGGUCUCUGUCACUAACAAUUGUUUUGGGUGCCCCAUGGAGUUUGUAGAUCUCAGAAAUGAAAAUUGGAGCUAGUGAGGCAGCAGUGAAACUUGCAGGUAGCGAAAUAAAAUGGGCAAAUUUGGUGAGGCGAUCAACAAUGACCCAGAUGGUGGUUUUAUGGUGCGAUUGGGGAAGGUUGGUGAUGAAAUCCAUGGAGAUGUCAUCCCAAACUUGUUGAGGUAACGGUAACGGUUGGAGUAAACCGUAAGGGGCAUGGGUGUUGUAUUUAUUGUGUUGGCAAGUGGUGCAGCGAUUGACGAAUUGUUUGACAUCUCGGUGCAUACCCGGCCAAUAGAAGGAUGCUGAUACACGCGCCAAGGUAGCUUGAAUACCGGAGUGGCCGCCUAAAGGUGAAGCAUGGAAUUCUUGUAGAAUUUCCAAUCGAAGCCCUGUUUCUUCAGGUAUAAACAGUCUAUCUUUGAAGUAGAGUAGGUCUGAUUUGUGAGAAAAAUGUUGCCUCAUUUUGGUGUCUUCUUGUGCUUUCCUGAUUAGAUUCUGACCUGCAGGGUUAGUAGAAAAAAAAGAUUGUAAUUGAGAAAUUAAAGGGGAAGAAAGGGAACUAAUAGCUGCACAGAUUUCCUCAAUUGGUGGCUCAGUUACUCGAGAUAAUGCGUCGGCGACAACAUUGUCUUUUCCAGGUUUGUAAUGAAUUUCAUAGUUAUAACCCACAAGUUUAGUUAACCACUUUUGUUGCUCUGGGGUUUGGAUUGUUUGUGUCAUGAGACAUUUCAAACUCUUAUGAUCUGUGAAGAUCUUAAAAGUGGAUCCUAACAAAUAUUGUCUCCAUUUUUUUAUUGCUUCAGUUAGGCCAUAUAACUCUCGCACAUAUGUGGAUGCGGCAGAAAGACGGGCGUUCAGCUUUUUGCUGAAAAA